Dipodomys spectabilis (banner-tailed kangaroo rat) is the source of this 104-nucleotide small nuclear RNA. The record is from RefSeq and is a predicted model, not a curated record. Lineage: Eukaryota; Metazoa; Chordata; Mammalia; Rodentia; Heteromyidae.
GUGCUUGGCAUCAGGAGCACACACACUAUAAUUGAAUGAUACAGAGAAUAACAUGGAUUUUGCACAAGCAUGAUAGGUAAAUUCAUGAAGCAUUCUAUAUUUUU